This 468-nucleotide ribosomal RNA is filed under the name uncultured bacterium. Its description in RNAcentral is "partial 16S ribosomal RNA". It matches the Rfam family "Bacterial small subunit ribosomal RNA", at positions 28 to 507 of the family's 1533-position model. The record is from RNAcentral.
GACGAACGCUGGCGGCGUGCUUAACACAUGCAAGUCGAACGGAAAGGCCCUGCUUUUGUGGGGUGCUCAAGUGGCGAACGGGUGAGUAACACGUGAGUAACCUGCCCUUGACUUUGGGAUAACUUCAGGAAACUGGGGCUAAUACCGGAUAGGAGCUCCUGCUGCAUGGUGGGGGUUGGAAAGUUUCGGCGGUUGGGGAUGGACUCGCGGCUUAUCAGCUUGUUGGUGGGGUAGUGGCUUACCGAGGCUUUGACGGGUAGCCGGCCUGAGAGGGUGACCGGCCACAUUGGGACUGAGAUACGGCCCAGACUCCUACGGGAGGCAGCAGUGGGGAAUAUUGCACAAUGGGCGGAAGCCUGAUGCAGCAACGCCGCGUGCGGGAUGACGGCCUUCGGGUUGUAAACCGCUUUCGCCUGUGACGAAGCGUGAGUGACGGUAAUGGGUAAAGAAGCACCGGCUAACUACGUG